RNAcentral lists this ribosomal RNA (468 nucleotides) under uncultured bacterium. RNAcentral's name for it is "partial 16S ribosomal RNA". It matches the Rfam family "Bacterial small subunit ribosomal RNA", at positions 28 to 507 of the family's 1533-position model. The record is from RNAcentral.
GACGAACGCUGGCGGCGUGCUUAACACAUGCAAGUCGAACGGUGAAGCUCCAGCUUGCUGGAGUGGAUCAGUGGCGAACGGGUGAGUAACACGUGAGCAACCUGCCCCUGACUCUGGAAUAAGCGCUGGAAACGGCGUCUAAUACUGGAUACGAGAAGGGUCCGCAUGGGCACUUUCUGGAAAGUUUUUCGGUUGGGGAUGGGUUCGCGGCCUAUCAGCUUGUUGGUGAGGUAAUGGCUCACCAAGGCGACGACGGGUAGCCGGCCUGAGAGGGCGACCGGCCACACUGGGACUGAGACACGGCCCAGACUCCUACGGGAGGCAGCAGUGGGGAAUAUUGCACAAUGGGCGAAAGCCUGAUGCAGCGACGCCGCGUGAGGGAUGACGGCCUUCGGGUUGUAAACCUCUUUCAGCAGGGAAGAAGCGAAAGUGACGGUACCUGCAGAAGAAGCACCGGCUAACUACGUG